AUAGGCUAAAUGCAGACAAAUGGGGCAGUUUCAGUUUGGGAAACCCGGUUGACAUUGACAAGUUGGGCCAAAGGGCCUGUUUCUGCACUGUAUACUUCUAUGACUUAAGUGCCUUAAAUGCUGGUGAGUUGAGAAAAUUAUCCAUGGGUCUUCUUGUCCUGCCCACAUUUGCUGAGGUGGUGAGAAAGUUGUGAGUUUCUGUUCAUUUAUCACCAUCUCCAUGGAGGGGAUAAUCAUUGUCUGUCUACCUUAAAAGUUCCCCUUAGUAAUGUAAAUUCCAGGGAAUACAGCUUGUUUGUGUAAUCAUUCUUCAUAUUAAUCCUUGGGAGUCCUGGUAUUCAGAUUAUUUGAGUCCAAUCUAUCCAAUGUGAUGUGGGAACCAGAUCAACUCGUGGUUGGAAUAUUAGAUUUUUUUUCCAUUUAAUUAACUUCCUUGUACCAUGCGUUUCCUUGUGAAAAACUGUUGCUGACUAGGUCAAACAUUUACCCUUACCUGUUCUGCUAAAAUUUAUGCUGCUCAGACGCCUGCUCAUCAUGCCACACAGGGAACUUCCAGUGGUCCAGGAUCUUGUUACAUCGCACAGAUUUUCCACUUAGCAAAACAUUCCCCUUAUUGUCAAACCCUAGGACCUCUCCCAUGGCCCCACACUCAGUGCUGCUAUAAGCUACCUCAUGCCGACAGACUAAUAAUGCAUUGCAUAAUAAAAAGGACAACAGCCUUAAAGCACCAAUCUGAAAGCACUGUCAGGAAAGAUCAGCAACUCAUAAAAGCAAGAAGAUCCAAGCAGCAGCUAAAGCAGCAACAGGGAAAAGUGACAGAUACUUGGAUUAGAAGAAAUAAAUCGAAACUCACAUUACCAGCUAGGGUAGGGAAUGGCAGAGCCCAAGAAAUUCAAGAAACAUGUUCAGGACAUCUUCAGCUUGAUGUUUCAGUGACUAACACCACGUUAAUGAACUGAACAAGAAAAAGCUAUCAAACCAGAGUUCAAGGGAAGAGUGAGACGAUUAAUCAGUAUGUGACACUGAUACAUCUAGCUGGAUCCUGACAGUCUGGACAACUGAAAGAUAAUGUCAUCACCUUGACUUGUCUUUGGCAAAAGGGAUCCUGAUGUAACAGCGCAUUUGCUUACAGGAGUAACUUACUCAUCAGAACACUAUCAAUGUGUGCAGAAGCUCCUAGCACGUCAAUUGUUAUAAUAGUCGUAAAUACGAAUGACCAAAUUUUAAUUUCCUUCAUCUGAUUGUCAUACCCGACAUCUUUAUCAUAGACUAAAAUAAUUUCAAAAAGGAAGAAAUUCAGUGGAAAAAUACACCUAUAGAAGGCAUGGAAAGUUGCUACUCCAAAGACUCAUUUUACACUGCAGCUGAAGCCAAAAAUAAUAACAAAUGUGUGAGUGACAAAAUCAAAGUAAAAUGACAGAACACCAAAUCAUAUUUUGAUGUAACUACCAAGUCAUUGCCAAAAUUUAGGGCAGUGAUGAAUAUCUCAACAUGACUGUGUCAAAGUAUUCCACGCUCAAAUAAUUUUUGUAGAAAACAUUUUCCUAUGCUCACUCUCAGCAAUAAUCACAAAUUGAUGACCCCUCAUCAAUGACUCUAUUCAAAGAACAUAAUCUUUGCUCAUUCAUUCGUUUAAGGAUGCCAAAAAUAAUAACAAAUGUGUGAGUGACAAAAUCAAAGUAAAAUGACAGAACAUAUUUUGAUACAACUACCAAGUCAUUGCCAAAAUUUAGUAAUCGAAAUCAGUCGAAAAACACUUAACAAAAGUCUCCCACAUGGCCACUUGAGACCUGGGUAGUCCAGCAUGCUGAACAUGAAUGAAUAUAUGUAAUCACAACUGCAAAUAUCUGUGUACAACAAGAGAAGCUGUACCUUCACUGCAGGCAGUGGAUCAAGAAGAAGUGAUCUCACCAUCUACACAGAGUAGAACAACAAUUAGUCUUAUGGGUCAAGUGUUCCCCAGCAUCAGAAAUGGAUCAGCAACAGUUACCGUGGCAAUGAUACUUGCCAUAGGAGUGAUACGUGCCAAAGAGGAGACACCGCUCUGAAAGCAAAAAGAUACCAGAGGAACAGCCAACAACAAUAUGCAUACGUACUGUUAGGACAUCUGUAUGAUUUAAAGACUGUAUACAACGCAUGUGCAAAGACUGAUGAAAGUGGAGCAGACUGAAAUCGUUGUAUUGUUUGUUAAUAGAUAGCACAUUUCUUUGUGAUCCAUGUACAUUGGACAACUGUGAUAAUCUUUAAAUACAUCUUGUUUCUUUUUUUUGUGAAUGCGAGAUAUUUGGAGAAGUGAAAUUAUAUUGGCUCGCUUGUGUAAACACUUGACCUGUACCUCUGCUGUAACAGCCUUUGAUGUGGUUUGUAGGAGUCGUUAAAACACAAUCACUUGAGAUUAUAGUUUAUUCCUUAGUUAAAACCAAAACUGUUCAUGAAUAAAUGGUCAUUUACUUAAAAA
Rhincodon typus (whale shark) is the source of this 2458-nucleotide long non-coding RNA. RefSeq lists it as uncharacterized. The record is from RefSeq and is a predicted model, not a curated record. NCBI's taxonomy places the organism in Eukaryota, Metazoa, Chordata, Chondrichthyes, Orectolobiformes, Rhincodontidae. The transcript is spliced from 3 exons.